GGAGGCGUGGUGUAGCGGUCAACAUGUCGGCCUGUCAAGCCGAAGAUCGCGGGUUCGAAUCCCGUCGCUUCCG
Molecule: transfer RNA, 73 nt
Filed under: Pseudomonadota bacterium
Lineage: Bacteria; Pseudomonadati; Pseudomonadota
Also listed under: 1 other name
Description: tRNA-Asp
Rfam family: tRNA
About the family: Transfer RNA (tRNA) molecules are approximately 80 nucleotides in length.
Source: RNAcentral